This 207-nucleotide ribosomal RNA is filed under the name uncultured bacterium. Its description in RNAcentral is "partial 16S ribosomal RNA". It matches the Rfam family "Bacterial small subunit ribosomal RNA", at positions 568 to 774 of the family's 1533-position model. The record is from RNAcentral.
CGUGUAGGCGGUUAGAUAGGUCCGUUGUGAAAACUCGAGGCUUAACCUCGAGACGUCGAUGGAAACCAUCUGGCUAGAGUCCGGAAGAGGAGAGUGGAAUUCCUGGUGUAGCGGUGAAAUGCGCAGAUAUCAGGAAGAACACCCGUGGCGAAGGCGGCUCUCUGGUACGGUACUGACGCUGAGACGCGAAAGCGUGGGGAGCGAACA